GCAUCUCGUUUACACCGACACGAUAUCUGUGAAAUUCAGAUCAUUUUGA
This 49-nucleotide transfer RNA is filed under the name Sphaerotheca dobsonii (Mangalore bullfrog). RNAcentral's name for it is "partial tRNA-Val". Lineage: Eukaryota; Metazoa; Chordata; Amphibia; Anura; Dicroglossidae. The record is from RNAcentral.